This is a long non-coding RNA of Hibiscus syriacus, 493 nucleotides long. RefSeq lists it as uncharacterized. NCBI's taxonomy places the organism in Eukaryota, Viridiplantae, Streptophyta, Magnoliopsida, Malvales, Malvaceae. The transcript has 3 exons. The record is from RefSeq and is a predicted model, not a curated record.
CACGUUGCUAGUUUCUUCUUAAUAUCCUAUGUGGUUCUUUUUUGUGAAUCUCAAUCCAGGCUUUAUGUUUGAUUUCGGCGGAACUCAACGACCUUAACCUCAACUCUUGUAAAAACUUGCAUCCGGAGAGAUUGCUCCUUCAAUGCCCAAGUUUACAUAAUGUGCAUGCGGCAGAGCCAUCAAAGGCCAGGUAGGAAAAUAUAGUUUCAUUGAGCUCCAUUUUCUACAUGCUAAAUCAAAUCUUCAAACGGCAACGAUAAUCUCAUUCAUUUUCGCCGUUAUUUACGAUUCUUUUCCUGUUGUUCUCAUCAUAAGUGAUUGAUAACAUGGCAUCUCUGGAAAACCGAUUUCAAUGUAAGCGACUGGCCAACGGCUCCAAGAGGGUUUGUGCACCGGAUUGUCUGAGUCAACAGACAAGUGAUGAUAAUAAACGGAGGAGGGUAAUGGAACGGCAAUGCAAUGUGCUUGUGGACUAAAAUCUCCAUUUUUGUAA